UGGUCGAUGAGGGUCGGGGAGAUGAAGUGGACAUGGGCGUCGAUGGCGCCAGCGGUGAGGAUCCUGCCGUUGCCCGCGAUGACCUCGGUCUCGGGCCCGAUGACGAGGUCGGGGUGGACGCCGUCCAUGGUGUCGGGGUUCCCGGCCUUGCCGAUGCCGGUGAUACGGCCGUCGCGCAGGCCGAUAUCCGCCUUGACGACGCCCCAGUGGUCGAGCACGACCGCGCCGGUGAUCACGGUGUCGGGGGUGCCCUCGGCGCGGCUGGCGCGGGACUGGCCCAUGGAUUCGCGGAUCA
Molecule: non-coding RNA, 295 nt
Organism: Streptomyces violaceusniger Tu 4113
Lineage: Bacteria; Bacillati; Actinomycetota; Actinomycetes; Kitasatosporales; Streptomycetaceae
Source: Rfam